RNAcentral lists this ribosomal RNA (372 nucleotides) under uncultured organism. RNAcentral describes it as "bacterial SSU rRNA". It matches the Rfam family "Bacterial small subunit ribosomal RNA", at positions 526 to 896 of the family's 1533-position model. The record is from RNAcentral.
CAGAGGUCUCAAGCGUUGUUCGGAUUCAUUGGGCGUAAAGGGUGUGUAGGUGGCGCGCUAAGUCGGGUGUGAAAUUUCGGAGCUUAACUCCGAAACUGCAUUCGAUACUGGCGUGCUUGAGGACUGGAGAGGAGACUGGAAUUUACGGUGUAGCAGUGAAAUGCGUAGAUAUCGUAAGGAAGACCAGUGGCGAAGGCGGGUCUCUGGACAGUUCCUGACACUGAGACACGAAGGCCAGGGGAGCAAACGGGAUUAGAUACCCCGGUAGUCCUGGCAGUAAACGGUGCACGUUUGGUGUGGGAGGAUUCGACCCCUUCUGCGCCGGAGCUAACGCGUUAAACGUGCCGCCUGGGGAGUACGGUCACAAGAUUA